UACUGUCUAAUUAAGCUUAACUUAUAGUAAGUACACUUUCAUCACAAUAUUUCUUAACAUACUUAAGUACACUUUUUAAAAAUGCACUUUGUCUAAUUUAGUUUUACUUAAAUGUAACCCUGGUUAAAUAAUUAAAUAUUAUUAUUUUAAAAGUGUGCUUAAAAUAAUAGAGACUAUUCAUACAUCUACAUUUAUUUUAUAAAUGAGGAAAUACAUGUGAAUAAUUCAAUCUGAAUUAUAAAUCUGAAAUGAGUAAACCAAUCGGAGUGUUUAAUUGUAAGCUCCGCCCCUUUUUUGCUUUCGGAUCGCGUCUCAGUUCAGAGGAGAGAUGCAGAGCGACAGAGACACUCUAUCUAACGCGAGAGUGUUUAAUUUGAUUAAAUAUGACUCCUAAGUUCAUAUAAACUGAAGAAAUCAGAAUUUAACUUGCAUAUAUUCAAUGAUACAGCGUGAUUGUGUGGAUUGAGCACUUUUUGAGCUUUCAUUUUGACCUGUGUGAUUAUGUAAAACCACAUGGUGCGUUGUGUUCACUGCUGUUCGCUGACGCCAUUUUGGUUUCACGUGCCUGUGAAAGACAAAAAGAGAGAGAAACACGUGAAUGGACAGGUAUUUGUCUAAAUUGUCAUUUAUUAUGAUGAUGGCACUUAUGUAUGUAUUUUAUUUGUUUCCUGUAUUGUGUACAAUUGUUCAUCAUUAUUGAUACACAAUAUUGAAUGUUUUUUCCUUUCGUAUGAACAUUCCUUGAGCUGGUUUUUCCUAAUUGAUGGCGAGCCUCCCAUUUCGACCUGAUUGGAUCACGAAUCUAGAGGAAAGGACAAAUUUCUAUUUUAAAUAUUUUUCUUCAGACAAGUAAGAGGAUACAUUUCAGAAACUGUUUCCUUAUUUUGUUUGUUUACUUCAUUGAACUGAAACAUUUCAGAAGCACAAAUCUGAUAAUUUAAGACUGAUCAAUACUCCAAUUGAUAAGAACUUUGAACUUGAAUACGGAUUUCAGUGUGUUACAUAUAUAAUUUGUACCAUCUUUGUACAUUGAUUGUGACUGUGAUUUCUGUAAAUGAGAAGUAAUUUAGAGGGUGCACCCAUAGUAUAUAUCCCCCUUCUUCAAAUCUUACCCUGGAGGUCCGGAGCACUACAGAGUUUAGCUCCAACCCUGAUCAAACACACCUGAGCAAGCUAAUCAAGGUCUUCAUGAUCACUAGAAAAUCACAGGUGGGUAAGUUUGAUUAGGGUUGGAGCUAAACUCUGUAGUGCUCUGGACCUCCAGGGUAAGAUUUGAGGAACCCUGGUAUAUAUAGUUAAUUGUAUUUUCAUUGUUGUUUACUAUUUUUUGUGAUUAAGGAAAGAAAAAGAAAGGUUUCUCAAUACUCAAAGUAAAAUAAUUUAUUAAUCAACUUACCUUCUGUCUCUGCUUGUUGCUCACUAUCACUGCUACCUCCUCCUUCGUACCGUGCACCCUUCUGAUCUUAUUAUUAUGCCUGGUCCAUAAGUGAGUUAAUAUCCGCUACAUAAAGAAAGUAAACUUUCAUGGCAAUAUUUCUAAACGCAUUUAAUAAAUGAUCAUUAGACUGAUGUGACCUACCAAAGACUUGUUAAUUUAAAGUUCAUGCAGUUCUUUUUUAGUUGUCUGUUAAAAUGUUAAAAAAUAAUAACUUUGAGUUUAUUUUUUUCUAAGGGAUGUAAUUAUUCAAUAUUGAUAGUGGUUUGAUUCCAAUUUAACAAUAUUAAAAUGAGUUUUUUUUGUUUGGACAUAUACAACUCAUAAUUAAUUUAUUAAAUGUACUUUUGCAAAACAAAAAAUCUGACUACCAAACUGUUUUAUUGUCAGUGUAAGCAUUGUGGUUUUUGUUUGUUUGCAAUGCAUUAAACUGAAAUGAAUACA
Molecule: non-coding RNA, 1879 nt
Organism: Misgurnus anguillicaudatus (oriental weatherfish)
Lineage: Eukaryota; Metazoa; Chordata; Actinopteri; Cypriniformes; Cobitidae
Source: RefSeq, a predicted model, not a curated record